RNAcentral lists this ribosomal RNA (672 nucleotides) under Paenibacillus humicus. RNAcentral's name for it is "bacterial SSU rRNA". It matches the Rfam family "Bacterial small subunit ribosomal RNA", at positions 61 to 722 of the family's 1533-position model. Lineage: Bacteria; Bacillati; Bacillota; Bacilli; Caryophanales; Paenibacillaceae. The record is from RNAcentral.
GUCGAGCGGAAUCUUGUCCUUCGGGACAAGGUUAGCGGCGGACGGGUGAGUAACACGUAGGCAACCUGCCCUCAAGACUGGGAAAACCUCCGGAAACGGAUGCUAAUACCGGAUAUGCGGUUUCUCCUCCUGGAGAGAUCGGGAAAGACGGAGCAAUCUGUCGCUUGGGGAUGGGCCUGCGGCGCAUUAGCUAGUUGGUGAGGUAACGGCUCACCAAGGCGACGAUGCGUAGCCGACCUGAGAGGGUGAUCGGCCACACUGGGACUGAGACACGGCCCAGACUCCUACGGGAGGCAGCAGUAGGGAAUCUUCCGCAAUGGACGCAAGUCUGACGGAGCAACGCCGCGUGAGUGAGGAAGGCCUUCGGGUCGUAAAGCUCUGUUGCCAGGGAAGAACGGGUGGAAGAGUAACUGCUUCCGCCAUGACGGUACCUGAGAAGAAAGCCCCGGCUAACUACGUGCCAGCAGCCGCGGUAAUACGUAGGGGGCAAGCGUUGUCCGGAAUUAUUGGGCGUAAAGCGCGCGCAGGCGGCUUUGUAAGUCCGGUGUUUAAUCUUGGGGCUCAACCCCAAGUCGCACGGGAAACUGCAAGGCUUGAGUGCAGAAGAGGAAAGUGGAAUUCCACGUGUAGCGGUGAAAUGCGUAGAUGUGGAGGAACACCAGUGGCGAAGGC